GCCGCAUUGUACGGACGUGAGUUCAGGAACGGAUUGCCGGAACAGACGAUACGCCAGCUGUAGCCGGACGGAAAGGGCAUAAAAGACGCACCGCAUAUCGAGCAUAUCGCAAACGCACUUGUGCGAAGCGCGACGUGUAUGAAGUUUUCCAGUUCGAUCUGCCGGACGUAGCGAUCGUCGUCAACGUCGUCAACAUCGUCAGCGGGAAUCGACAUCGAUCGCGAUUGAUCGCAUAGCGGAAUUCUUCGGAAGCGAAAAUUCUUAGCGAGAAUUCGCAGGCAAGACACCAUCAGAAGCUACUGACGCGCCAGUGUAAAGAUUGGCCUUUUCUCUCUCUCCCUCUCUCUCUCUCUGUCUUUCUUUCUCUCUCUCUCUCUCUCUCUCUCUUGCGUGGUGCGAGCCGUGCAAGGUGUUAAAACUUUCUAAGAGUAUAUUCUACAAAAGCGGUAGAAAGAGAGAAAGAGAAAGAGAGAUUGCAGGACGUAAAAAGAUAGGGACGAACCGGGCAGGCGAAGUGUGAAACGGAGACCAAAUAAUAAAAGUCUACGAGAUGGCGUUUAUGAUGCCUGUGGUGAAAAAUGAAUGGGAUAUUUACAAGACUAAUAGGAGUCGACGAUCGUCCGAGUGCUCGAAUCCUCAGGCCUGUCGCAGUCGAAAGGUCUGGCGAACCGGCAGACACAGCCGUCUUGCGAAGUGCGGCGCGUCCGAUCGUCCUCCCUUCUCGGUUCUCAUGGUGUCCGAGUGUUCCAAGUCGGAGGGACCGUCGUUGUCGACCUCCCCCGGUUCCGACUUUCUUACCUCGCCGGCGCAUCGGUCCGUGCCGCUGACCUCGCGGCACUUCUCGAGGACGUCCUCAAGGGCGUCGCAGAGCUCUCUCCAGAGCCCGAGCAAGAGCACGAGCACGUCGCCGCCGAAGACCGGCAGUUCGAGCUCCCUCAACAAGUUCCAUAACCGAUUGGUGGAUAAGCUGAAGCGCUCGCUGAAGAAGGCGGAAGAUUGCGCGGAGGAUCAACGGAACCUAUCGUGAAACAGUCAAGGGGUUUUGGGCCGGCCACCCGCGUCCGGCUCGAAACCGAUCGAGAUCCGACGCACUUCGGCACCCGUUACCGUAUCCGAGUCGAGCAGCAACGUGGCGGCGCGCUCGUGUCCGGAUCCGCCUUCAGCUUGGUAAAGAAGAAAGAGAAAGGGGAAAGAAAGAGAUGAUAAUGACGGAGGAAACGAGAGCAACGAGGAACAUGUGCGAAUAUGCGAGAGAGUAUGAUCGAGAGAGAGAGAGAGGAAAAAAUGCGCGGAUGUCUGAAGGAGGAGAAGGGAGUUCGCACACGUUCAGCUCGAAAGCGAGCACGUUCAAGUUUGUUAGCCCAGCACAAGCAAGGAAGAGGAGGAGUUGGUUGAACGAUCCUCGAUCCGUUGUGUUCGGCUCGCUGGAUGUUGACAGUCGAUCAUGUCAAGAAUCCUCAUGGAUCGAGAGACCUCGAUCGAACGAUCGGACGAUGGCGCAGCAUUGGUGAGUGCUCGAGAGGACGAAGAGAUGCUUGGGACGUUCUUUUGGACAACAUUUUUAAGAUGAUAUGCGUUCCGCGACAACGCCGAUGUAUAAAAGCCAAAGCAAUAUCGAUGAGCCAAUAUAGCGCAAAGCUCUGAUUUUACGUUCUCCAAUUUGAGAAUCUGUUUAAGAUGGCGUGAGAAAGAGCAAAAGAAAAGGAGGAGCUGGGAGGACAGUGGGAUCGCAGCCGAUCGGUCGAUCGAUGUUGAUCGAGGAGAUUUCAAGGAAUCAUCGAAGAUCAUCGAAAGUCAAAGGACAAUCGUGAAGGAUGGAGGAGUCGGCGACGGAGGAAGUGAGGUUCGAGUUUGCGUGCCGGAAGCAGCAACGGCAGUUUCUCGCCUUUGCGGGAUCGGAUUUCGUCGUGCAGAGGAAGGAUACUGUGCGUAUAUGUGCGUGUAAUUCAGGGCCGCGUAAUAAAUGUGCGCAACUUGCUCACUUCGGGUCACCGAGCGUGCGAAGCCUAAGAGAUUUGAUUUAUUUUCACGUACAUAUUCCUAUUCAACGUCGCAAAUUUAUGUAUAUCAGUUGUAAUUAUACUUACGUAUCCUUGUAAGCGCGUUUGCUCUACGCGGAUCUCGUUUUCCGCGCUCCCCUUCAGGAAAUCUUCAUGGAAUACAAUCGCGGCGGAAUAUAAUACGAGGAACAUUUUUCGCGUAGAACUGAUGCGUCGAGUAAUGUGCUUUGAUAUCUGAAAAAUAGCUUCGGAGUACAUAAAAAUUCAAGUACCAUCGCGGAAAAGGUUUUCCCCUGGAAUGUUACUGUGGGUAAAUUUUCAUCCCUACUUUAAAUUCAGUACAAUUUUUAUUAUUAAA
Molecule: RNA transcript, 2358 nt
Organism: Mycetomoellerius zeteki
Lineage: Eukaryota; Metazoa; Arthropoda; Insecta; Hymenoptera; Formicidae
Exons: 4
Source: RefSeq, a predicted model, not a curated record